Molecule: ribosomal RNA, 467 nt
Filed under: uncultured bacterium
Lineage: Bacteria
Description: partial 16S ribosomal RNA
Rfam family: Bacterial small subunit ribosomal RNA
Source: RNAcentral
GACGAACGCUGGCGGCGUGCUUAACACAUGCAAGUCGAACGGAAAGGCCUCUUUCGGGGGGUACUCGAGUGGCGAACGGGUGAGUAACACGUGAGUAACCUGCCCUUGACUUUGGGAUAACUUCAGGAAACUGGGGCUAAUACCGGAUAGGAGCUCCUGCUGCAUGGUGGGGGUUGGAAAGUUUCGGCGGUUGGGGAUGGACUCGCGGCUUAUCAGCUUGUUGGUGGGGUAGUGGCUUACCAAGGCUUUGACGGGUAGCCGGCCUGAGAGGGUGACCGGCCACAUUGGGACUGAGAUACGGCCCAGACUCCUACGGGAGGCAGCAGUGGGGAAUAUUGCACAAUGGGUGGAAGCCUGAUGCAGCAACGCCGUGUGGGGGAUGACGGCCUUCGGGUUGUAAACCGCUUUCGCUCAUGACGAAGCUUUGUGUGACGGUAGUGGGUAAAGAAGCACCGGCUAACUACGUG